UACGCUCAAUAAUACGCUCAAGAUAAACCUGGGUUCUUCUGUUACUCUGUGGUUCCAAAAGGCAUGAUGAGAAGAAGAUACACUUCUAUGAUAAAAUGAAGGAUUGAGCAUUCUGAUUCCAGGGUAAGAAGCCAUUAUUCCUCCCGCCUUUCACUGGAAAGAUGCAGUCAGUCAGUCAACAUCCACAAGAACCCUGCUACAGUCUUUGGGAUGGCUCAAGUGACCAGAGGGCUCUGGAAAGUCAUCUCUGUGCCACAAACUGGGCCAGGUUUCACUCAAUUCAAAGGUUCUGAAUCUAGACCCAGUGAAGGACUUAACAGUGUGUGGAGGUGGCCUGUGGACCAGCCAAACAAAGUGCCAAGAUCGUACCACAAGAUAAGCUGCCCUCCCUCUGUAAGCAAGUAAGGGCCCAAAGGCCAUCAAUUGAGUUACGGUGUGACUGUAAGAUAAUCGGUAGAAGAAAGAUUAUGGAAUAGUACACGAAAAUUCCUCACUAUUCUUACAACAACAACAAUUAUUUAAAUAAUAAGGUGAGGAAGUUCCUUUUGAAUACCUGGGGAAUUGUAACUAUAAAUUAAAGUUAAGUGAUGCUUAUUAAGGCUUUCAGGAUAGGUGCUUUAAAAUGUAAAUAGUUUAGGGCAAAACAAUCUCAUCCAUCUGGGGCCUUCAACUCUUUAGAACAGGUGUGAGAACCCUAAAGACAGAGGGACCAGAGAGUCUGCUUACUUUACCCACAAUUGUAACAGGUUAGUUAUAUAGUUUUCUAUAGCUGCCAAGGAGGUUGGGGGAGGGGGAAAAGGGGAGAAGGAAAGCAAAUGACAGUAAGAAAAAGGUAUCGCUGACAAUGAAGAGCCUGGGAUGAUUGUGGGUCUGCAAAUAUCAUUAUAUUACAGCAUAGUAAUUGAUGUUCAUAAUGAUGACUACUACUCAUCAAGAAAAGGUUAAAUUACAUUUUGAAUACUCAGCUUUAGAAAGCAGAGAAGUGUGUAAUAGAUUUUAGCAAGGUUUCUAUCUAAAGUGGUUAAAACAAAAUAAAAAAAGCUAGUGCUUAAAGGACA
Molecule: long non-coding RNA, 1058 nt
Filed under: Phascolarctos cinereus (koala)
Lineage: Eukaryota; Metazoa; Chordata; Mammalia; Diprotodontia; Phascolarctidae
Description: lncRNA (ENSPCIG00000035738.1)
Source: RNAcentral